CAGCCGCCACGGGAAUACGUAGGUGGCAAGCGUUGUCCGGAAUUAUAGGGCGUAAAGCGCGCGCAGGUGGUUUAAUAAGUCUGAUGUGAAAGCCCACGGCUCAACCGUGGAGGGUCAUUGGAAACUGUUAAACUUGAGUGCAGGAGAGAAAAGUGGAAUUCCUAGUGUAGCGGUGAAAUGCGUAGAGAUUAGGAGGAACACCAGUGGCGAAGGCGGCUUUUUGGCCUGUAACUGACACUGAGGCGCGAAAGCGUGGGGAGCAAACAGGAUUAGAUACCCCUGUAGUCCCUGUCUCUUAUAC
RNAcentral lists this ribosomal RNA (301 nucleotides) under uncultured bacterium. RNAcentral's name for it is "partial 16S ribosomal RNA". It matches the Rfam family "Bacterial small subunit ribosomal RNA", at positions 509 to 807 of the family's 1533-position model. The record is from RNAcentral.